This 605-nucleotide unclassified non-coding RNA is filed under the name Microcystis panniformis G11. RNAcentral describes it as "partial contains 16S ribosomal RNA, 16S-23S ribosomal RNA intergenic spacer, and 23S ribosomal RNA". The stretch from base 1 to 274 matches the Rfam family "Bacterial small subunit ribosomal RNA", at positions 1261 to 1533 of the family's 1533-position model. Lineage: Bacteria; Bacillati; Cyanobacteriota; Cyanophyceae; Chroococcales; Microcystaceae. The record is from RNAcentral.
GAGCCAGCGAAUCCCAGCAAACCCGGCCUCAGUUCAGAUUGCAGGCUGCAACUCGCCUGCAUGAAGGAGGAAUCGCUAGUAAUCGCCGGUCAGCAUACGGCGGUGAAUUCGUUCCCGGGCCUUGUACACACCGCCCGUCACACCAUGGAAGCUGGUCACGCCCGAAGUCAUUACCUCAACCGCAAGGAGGGGGAUGCCUAAGGCAGGGCUAGUGACUGGGGUGAAGUCGUAACAAGGUAGCCGUACCGGAAGGUGUGGCUGGAUCACCUCCUUAAAGGGAGACCUAAUUCCGGUGGGAGACGAAAAAAAAGUAGUCCCAACCAAGAAUCAAUCCCAAAAGGUCGGAGCGAGGCGAAAUUGGCUUUCAAACUAGGUUCUGGGUUCACACAAGACCUGAAUCAGGAACAAGGGCUAUUAGCUCAGGUGGUUAGAGCGCACCCCUGAUAAGGGUGAGGUCCCUGGUUCGAGUCCAGGAUGGCCCACCUGCACAGGUGGCAAAAACAAAGAAAAAAAGCUCCGAAUCAGCACCUUAUCUUACUUAUACAGUAAGAGAGAAUGCUGGCUCUGAGUUCAGAGUCCAGAGGAACCUUGAAAACUGCAUAGAG